AGCAGCCGCGGUAAUUCCAGCUCCAAUAGCGUAUAUUAAAGUUGUUGCAGUUAAAAAGCUCGUAGUUGAAUUUCGGGGUUAGUAGGUUGGUCAUGCCCCUGGUAUGUACUGGUCUCACUGAUUCCUCCUUCCUGAUGAGCCGUAAUGCCAUUAAUUUGGUGUUGCGGGGAAUUUGGACUGUUACUUUGAAAAAAUUAGAGUGUUUAAAGCAGGCUCACGCUUGAAUACAUUAGCAUGGAAUAACGAAAUAGGACGUUUGAUUCUAUUUUGUUGGUUUCUAGGAUCGACGUAAUGAUUAAUAGGGAUAGUUGGGGGCAUUAGUAUUCAAUUAUCAGAGGUGAAAUUCUUGGAUUUAUUGAAGACUAACUACUGCGAAAGCAUUUGCCAAGGAUGUUUUCAUUAAUCAAGAACGAAAGUUAGGGGAUCGAAGACGAUCAGAUACCGUCGUAGUCUUAACCAUAAACUAUGCCGACUAGGGAUCGGAUGAUGUUAAUUUUUAAUGUACUCAUUCGGCGCCUUA
RNAcentral lists this ribosomal RNA (520 nucleotides) under uncultured Glomus. RNAcentral describes it as "SSU rRNA". It matches the Rfam family "Eukaryotic small subunit ribosomal RNA", at positions 569 to 1090 of the family's 1831-position model. Lineage: Eukaryota; Fungi; Glomeromycota; Glomeromycetes; Glomerales; Glomeraceae. The record is from RNAcentral.